GUCAUUUUUCUGAUAUCAGUGAAAAAGGUCAUUCCAGUAGAACAUUGGCAUUUCUGUGUGAUUGUCCUUUCAAAGCCAUUAGUGCAAUCAGGGCUCCAUCUUCUAUUGAGGCAAUGAAGGAAAACAUUUUGCACAAGGAUGCAAAACUAAUAGUGCUGAGCUUAGGCCCUGUGUCGGAGGACACCUGGUGGUUUCUUUUCAUACAUACUUCAUCUGGCUCAUGGGUGAUUAGUAGGAUGAAGCUAGAUAGAGCAGAAAACACGAAUUUUUGGAGCCGAACUAUUUCAAGAUGGCCCCGGAGUGAUGGCAACACUUCAGGUUUUAAUGUCUUUUUAGUGUUAGUGUUUUACAGAGGAAAGAACAAAUAGAAAAGUAAGCAUGUUGGGUUAGCACACCUAGGAAAAAGCAGAACAAUGAGCUGUGUCUAGUUGCCAAAAAUUAUAUUAAUGUUUGGGUUAUGAACAUUAAAGAUUUCUAUACUUUGAGACAGACAAGAGUGAUUCUAUGAAUCUGCUGCCUAUUUUGAAAGUUGAAUGAGCCAAGAUUCAACCUGAAAAUACACAUUUAGUAAAAUCUAGAAGCAAGGGUACAUGGAGCAAGGCAUCUUAGUUGAUUGAUCUAUAAUCUGUAUAUCUGUAUUUCUUAAAAUCUAGCCUUCUGAAGGUAAAAGCUUCCAACAGGAAGAAAAACUUAAAACAGAAUCUCACAUGUUUACUAACUGUAACACCAAAAGUUAUUUUCAACUUUCAAG
This 751-nucleotide long non-coding RNA is filed under the name Rattus norvegicus (Norway rat). RNAcentral describes it as "long non-coding RNA NONRATT002205". The record is from RNAcentral. Lineage: Eukaryota; Metazoa; Chordata; Mammalia; Rodentia; Muridae.